Gordonia malaquae NBRC 108250 is the source of this 129-nucleotide regulatory RNA element. It matches the Rfam family "ALIL pseudoknot". The record is from Rfam. NCBI's taxonomy places the organism in Bacteria, Bacillati, Actinomycetota, Actinomycetes, Mycobacteriales, Gordoniaceae.
GGCUUUCUUUGCGGCGGAGCUCGACCGCCCACGCAGGUGAUCGUCGCGUUCAUCGACGAUCACCGUGAUCGCUGGGGUGUCGAGCCGAUCUGCACCGUCCUCACCGAGGCCGGCUGCCCGAUCGCCCCC